AUUUUACUUGAUGCCAUGACUUACACUUUAAAUACAUAUUUUAAAUAUGCAUUUUAAGGGAAGUAACAAAAUGAGACUGAUUAGUGUCCUACAGAAAAACUAGGCUUUAAAUUUUCUCUGUCACGUCCUUGCUCAGAUUUUACCAUUUGCUGAAAAACAUGUUGUGUUGAUAGCCAGAGAUCAGAGCAUUCUCUGCCAUUUUUAACUUCUGGCGUGAUCUCUUAAAGAAACAUGACUGGUAAACAGAAUAUUGUGGAUCAUUCCUAAAGCUCCAGCCUAAGGAAGGGAGGAAGGAGAAGCCAAAGAGAGAGAAAAGGAGCCCAAGCAACAACGGGAGGAAAAGGAGGUGAUUUAUCAACACACGAUUGGUGGUUCUUGCAGAAGUUGAGGCAGCAAGAGGAAAGCUUUGUCCCUGGCUUCAGUGUCAACAUUGCCAUCCUUGGGAGAAGAAUCUCCGUUCCAGUCUCUUGCUCCUUGCUUCAUUUCCGUGCCUGUUCCAGGAACUCCAGGUGGAGUUCGUGCUUUGUUACUCUUGGGUAUACCUUGCCUUGUUAACCUUGUUUCCACUACUCCUUAGUGGAUGCUUUCCAUGUGGAUUACAGUUGGUGGAUUUACCGCGCCUUGUUCCUGAUCCUUGCAACCUCUGGUUGUUUACCGAUUUUGACUUCUUGGUGGAACUAUCGAGUUCUGUUUGUGGAUUACAACUUUGAAAGACUUUGUUGGACUAACUAUUGAACAGUUGCAGACUUUACAUUAUGGACUAUUGACUUUACUGGCUUUUUACACU
Molecule: long non-coding RNA, 787 nt
Organism: Anolis carolinensis (green anole)
Lineage: Eukaryota; Metazoa; Chordata; Lepidosauria; Squamata; Anolidae
Exons: 3
Source: RefSeq, a predicted model, not a curated record